GCCAACAUGGUUGAAACUUGCAUUAUACUAAAUGAAAUAGCUCAGUCAUAAAAAGGACAAAUUUUGUAUGAUUUCUCUUAUAUGACGUUCUUAGGGUAUGUGGUCACAUUCAUAGAAACAAAGUAGAAUUGGAGUUUCCAGGGAAAGUGGGGAAGGUAAAUCAAAGAGUUGGUUUUUAAUAUCUCUCAGUUUGAGAAGAUUAAAAAUUCUGGAGAAAGAUGGUGACAAAGGUUGUACAACAGUAUAAAUGUAGUUAAUGCCACAAUAUUGAACACAGAAAUGGUUAAAAUGGUAUGUUUUGUUACAUGUAUUUUACUGCAAUAAUAAAAUGUACAAAAGAAUUCACAAAAAUCUAGCUAAAUUGAGGGCAGUUAUUAUUAAUAUUGUUAAUAACUUCUAAACUAAUGAAAAUGUGAAGCCACAGACAGGUUAAAUAUCUUGUACAAUAUUAUAUGACUAAUGACUAUAGGGACUAAGCCUUGAACCCAUGUCUUCUGAUCAAAAAUAAGUUUAUUUUCUUGAAAUUCAAAACAUUUUAUGAAUCUACUCCAGAGCCUAGAAGGAUUCCAGGUUUAUUAUUUCUAAGGUCACUGAAUAAGGCAGUUGAUGGUUAGAUGAAGAAAAUCCAUUUCCAUGAAUAAAUAAUGUGUUUGUUAAGAACUUACUAAUUGGUAAAAUCCACAAUCCUCGAAGGUAAUUCUUAAUGACUUGAUGCAUAGUAUUUGUUUCUCAUUAAACUUUAUGUAAGUUUUUUUUAUAUAAUCUAGAUAGUUUUCUCAGUACUGAGGACUAUAAUUCUGGAUAUAUCUUCUAUCAUUGCUGAAAUUACAGAAAUAGAGAAAUUGCCCUUGUGUUUUUGCUGCUUUUCAAUUUUAUCUUAUGCUUAAAACAUUUCAGUCCAAAUGUAAGUGAUUGAGUGAGUGAGUGAGUAUAUGUAUGUAUAUGUAGAGAGAAAAAUGAGGGAGGGUGAAUCCUUAGGGUGAGUUUUGGUUUGAGAGUUUCCUCACAACAAAGACCUUAGAGUGCACUUGGCUGGAAAAAUGAUGACAGAUAUUCAUAGCAAGCAAAAUAAACAAGGAAAUGGAUUAUGCUUAUUUUUCAGUUAAGAAGGAAUGUAUUUUAUAAGUUCAACAGUGAGUUAAUAUGACUGCUAAUCAGUGCUGGAGCUAUAACGUAUAUUGGCUAUAAUAAGGUGCAUUGACUGGGUUACUGGAUAAACACGUGCCAUUCAAAUACUUGUGUGGAAAACCUUAAGCUUUCAUUUGACAAAAGACAUCACUCAACCUAAGGCAAAAUAUUCUAACUAAAAUAAAGUAUUAUGAUUGUUAUGGGUUAAUUUUACACAUCUAAUUUCAAAAUUAAUAAAUAGUUUUCCCUAAUGCAGAUAUUAAC
This 1392-nucleotide long non-coding RNA is filed under the name Marmota monax (woodchuck). Lineage: Eukaryota; Metazoa; Chordata; Mammalia; Rodentia; Sciuridae. The record is from RNAcentral.